This 79-nucleotide transfer RNA is filed under the name Agrobacterium rubi. RNAcentral's name for it is "tRNA-Met". It matches the Rfam family "tRNA". From Rfam's summary of the family: Transfer RNA (tRNA) molecules are approximately 80 nucleotides in length. Their secondary structure includes four short double-helical elements and three loops (D, anti-codon, and T loops). Lineage: Bacteria; Pseudomonadati; Pseudomonadota; Alphaproteobacteria; Hyphomicrobiales; Rhizobiaceae. The record is from RNAcentral.
GGCGUUGUAGCUCAGUUGGCCAGAGCGGGGCUUUCAUACGGCUUGUCUGUCGUGAGUUCGAAUCUCACCUUCGCCACCA